UACGGAGGGUGCAAGCGUUGUUCGGAAUUACUGGGCGUAAAGCGCGUGUAGGCGGUUGCCUAAGUCUGAUGUGAAAGCCCGGGGCUCACCUCCGGAAGUGCAUUGGAAACUGGGCGACUAGAGUGUCGGAGAGGAGGGUGGAAUUCCUGGUGUAGCGGUGAAAUGCGUAGAUAUCAGGAGGAACACCGGUGGCGAAGGCGGCCCUCUGGACGAAUACUGACGCUGAGACGCGAAAGCGUGGGGAGCAAACAGGAUUAGAUACCCUGGUAGUCCACGCUGUAAACGAUGGGCACUAGGUGUUCGGGGUAUUGACCCCCCGAGUGCCGCAGCUAACGCAUUAAGUGCCCCGCCUGGGGACUACGGCCGCAAGGUUAAA
Molecule: ribosomal RNA, 376 nt
Filed under: uncultured bacterium
Lineage: Bacteria
Description: bacterial SSU rRNA
Rfam family: Bacterial small subunit ribosomal RNA
Source: RNAcentral